ACGCGCGGAACCUUACCAUCCCUUGACAUGGCAUGUUACCUCGAGAGAUCGGGGAUCCUCUUCGGAGGCGUGCACACAGGUGCUGCAUGGCUGUCGUCAGCUCGUGUCGUGAGAUGUUGGGUUAAGUCCCGCAACGAGCGCAACCCACGUCCUUAGUUGCCAUCAUUCAGUUGGGCACUCUAGGGAGACUGCCGGUGAUAAGCCGCGAGGAAGGUGUGGAUGACGUCAAGUCCUCAUGGCCCUUACGGGA
RNAcentral lists this ribosomal RNA (250 nucleotides) under uncultured bacterium. Its description in RNAcentral is "partial 16S ribosomal RNA". It matches the Rfam family "Bacterial small subunit ribosomal RNA", at positions 959 to 1209 of the family's 1533-position model. The record is from RNAcentral.